GGAGGAAUAUUGGGCAAUGGGGGAAACCCUGACCCAGCAACGCCGCGUGAAGGAAGAAGGCCUUCGGGUUGUAAACUUCUGUGACAGGGGACGAAAGAAAUGACGGUACCCUGAGAGGAAGCCACGGCAAACUACGUGCCAGCAGCCGCGGUAAUACGUAGGUGGCGAGCGUUGUCCGGAAUCACUGGGCGUAAAGGGCGCGUAGGCGGCUUGACAAGUCGCAUGUGAAGGACCAGGGCUCAACCCUGGGAGGUCAUGCGAAACUGUCUGGCUUGAGUGCAGUAGAGGUAAGCGGAAUUCCUGGUGUAGCGGUAAAAUGCGUAGAGAUCAGGAGGAACACCGGUGGCGAAGGCGGCUUACUGGGCUGCAACUGACGCUGAUGCGCGAAAGCGUGGGGAGCAAACAGG
RNAcentral lists this ribosomal RNA (407 nucleotides) under uncultured bacterium. Its description in RNAcentral is "bacterial SSU rRNA". It matches the Rfam family "Bacterial small subunit ribosomal RNA", at positions 355 to 776 of the family's 1533-position model. The record is from RNAcentral.